Molecule: RNA transcript, 5143 nt
Organism: Malaclemys terrapin pileata
Lineage: Eukaryota; Metazoa; Chordata; Testudines; Emydidae
Exons: 3
Source: RefSeq, a predicted model, not a curated record
GGGUGGCUAUAUUACAACAGAAAAACUUCAAAAACAGACUCCAAAGAGAGACUGCAGAGCUAGAAUUGAUAUGCAAACUAGACACAAUCAACUUCGGUUUGAAUAAGGACUGGGAAUGGCUGAGCCAUUACAAACGUUGACUAUCUCCCCUUUGACCAGUAUCAGAGGUUUCAGAGGAAAGAUGCAAGAAAUGCCAAAGAAACUCUGGCCAACAAGAACUCUCCCUGUCUAGGCCCAUUGACCUCUACAGUCUGCUGUACCCUCAACAGUGUGCACACACUGCAGCAGAAGGCUGGGCCAACGAAUCUUAUGGGCUGUCCCAAGAGGAAGCAUUUCUGUGAUGAAUUUAUGGUUGAAGUUCUGGAGAAGGCCAAACGCAGGUCCAGUACCAAAGACAGAAUAACUUGUGACUAAAGGAAAGGCAUGGUGAGAUGCAAGAGGAAAGAUCAAGGGUACCAAUUGGGGAGGCAGGGGAGGGCGGGAUGUGCCCCCCACUCCCUCCGAGUUUCAAAUGCACUUAGAAGGUUUGGUGCUUUGUAAACCCCAUUAGAUGCCUAGCUGCAUGUUUGGGUGCCUAAAAACAUUUCAAAUUCUGCCCUCAAAGCACUGGCCUGGGGUCAGAGAGGAAGUCCAUGUGGAGAGUAGAACCCAGGUCUUUCAGGGCUAGCUCCCUAUCCAGCAGACCAGCCUCUCUCUCUGCUGUAUGCUGCAAAAAAAUGAGGACUCUGAUAGAUAGGAGCAAAAACAAAGCAGCCAGUUCUUUGAGACUCCAGCAAACAGUCCCAGGAUGGAUGCCAUGGUUGACAGCAUGAAAAGCAGAACUGAGGUUAGGAAGGAUGGAGAAUGAGUCAGAUGAGAGGAGAUCACUUAACUCCCAAGGGGUGAUGAGCUCCAUAGGCACCGACUCCGUGGGUGCUCAGGGGCUGGAGCAUCCACAGGAAAAAAUUAGUGGGUGCUCUGCACCCAUCGGCAGCGAGCCUCAAGCCUCAGAGCAGUCCUAGGAGCCUUGGGGACCUACUGCUCCCCGGAGCAGAAUGAAACUGUGGAGCAACACAGGUUUUUCACUAGAGACCACACCAAAGGGAAGGGGAUAUAUCCCUAGUUUACUGCCUUACACACACUGGCUGCUACAUGCAAUCUGGGGGAUUUGACAGACCCCCCCCCCCCCGAUUUGGGACAGCACAGUCUGCAGCACAUGAGAUCACCAUCUGCAGGAGCAACCCCUCCAGGAAGGUGAGCUCACAUUAGAUAGAUGCUUAGCCAUGGGGCAUGUGGUAGAAGCCUCAACAGAGAGGAUGAAACUUCUAAGAAGCAUUGCACCUCCCAAGAACAUGCAGUGAGACAACACAAAAAGGGAGCAAGUAGCCAUGGAUUAUGCCCAUAGUGAGAUGUAAUUACUGUAGGAGACAGCAUGAGCAGGUAAAGGAGAAGUGCCUUGCACCAGGACAGCAUUGCAAGGAGUGUGCCAAGGUGAACCAUUUUAGCAGUGUGGGCAAGAGCAGAGGAACGUCCCAGAAAGAUUCAGUCAGACUUGUACAAGUGUACAACAUCAAUUAUAUGUCCUCAUUGUUUAUAUGAAAAUUUUAAUAAAAUAGGGAAGUGUCACAUGAUCAGUUGAACUGGAAUCAAAGGGCUGGUGUUCCCUGUGGAAUAGGAAAUGCGGGGAGUUAGGCGGAAAGCAACUCAGGCACAUGAACAGAGCAGUGCACCGGGUUUAAUAAAGUUCCACUUGUUCAACUUAAACUGCAUUCAGCUACACACACUGUGAAUGAAACAAUUACUCCUCCUCUCCAUAAUAAUUUAUCCUUAUUUGAAAAGAGAAAGGAAAAUCACUUUUUACUUUGUGUUAUGAAGUACACAUAAAAUGCAAUCAAAACAGUGGGGAAACAGAAUAAAUUGCACAUGGCUUGAAGAAAGAUGUGUGUGUGAUCCUUAGUUUUAACAACCAUAAAACUGUAAAGAAGUUCUGAUUCAAUGAAAAUAAUGGUGUGACAGCUGGAAAUUGAUUAGCGGCAGCGUUGGGAAAUUCUUUGAAAGCCUGCCACAAAAAUCCCAUUAUGAGUUAGUCUCUUUGGGGCAAAUGCUGCAGUCUGGACUCAGGCAGGACCUCCCUCAAUGGAUGUCUGCAGGAUUUGGCCCAACAUUAAGGCCCCAUCCAGCUAAAAAGGGGCCUAUGUGAUAAAUGACCAAUAGAAGCUCUACAGACCCAUAGAGCCACAUAGCCACUAAAACUGCUCCUGAUUCCUUCUGCUCCUCAUUACUGACACUGCAUUAGGCAUCAGAAAACCAGCUACGGCCAUCCACUUGGUACAGACUCUGACCAGAACAGGCUCUGGGGAAUGACACUGGAGGGCCUGACACCAACCGAUGCUACACUACUUAUAUAACUGUUAUUAUUUCUCUUUGGAUAUAAUAUUAAGUACUUUAUAAAGCUGAAAUGUUUUUAACUCUAAAGGACAUAACGUCAGGUUAAAUAUCUACUUAAACCCAGUUUCCUUGUCUAUAGCGAACAUCAAUGUAUCCCUUACAUAACAGUUUACAUUAGUAUAACUGAAAUAGUAGUUUAAUUACAAUUGCAGGAACAUUGAACAUCCGAUUUCCUUUGUACCCUGCUGUUAGUGAUGACUCAGACCUGAGCCAUUCCUGGUUUGGGUUUUGAAAAACAAAACCUGAGACAUGGCAAAUCACAACUCCCCCAAUUAUUUCAUUAAACACGAUAUUAACCUUUUGUCUUAUUUGAAGCAGACAUUGUGUUCUCCUAUAUUUACAGUACACUAGUUCCUAUUGGGAACUCUAAAAAAGACAGACCUGGGUCAACAAGCUCUUCAUGAUGUAGUUCUUCCACUUGUAAAUAUCUGGGCGAGAAGGCCCAAGAUUGACCUGACUAAUAAAAUCCUGUAGGUGCUGAUCAUCUCAUUCUGAGACUGCAUCCUCGUCAAAGAUUGAUUGGUCCGGUGCAUAAAAAUAUUUGUUUCCCUUUAGAUUUUAGAUGCUGCCUUGUCUCACAGGAAUACAAAGAAACAAGCAACAUUAAAGUGUGUUUCUACACUGAAAAGUGACAGUGCAAAAACAGCAGAAUCCGUUUUCCUAUUUUUCAUAGAUUCCUAGAUUUGAAGGCCAGGAGCGACCAUUAUAAUUAUCUAGUCUGACCUCCUUCAUAAACAGGUCAUCAAAUUUCCCCCAACGAGUCCUGUGUCAAGUCCUGUAAGACCUGACUGAGCUAAAGCAUAUCUUUUAGGAAAACAUCCAAUCCUGAUUUAAUGAUUUCAAGUGAUGGAGUCAUCAAACCUCUAAGUAAAUUAUUUGAAAGGUUAAUUACCCUCGCUGUUAAAAAUGUGCACUGUAUUUCUAAUCUGAAUUUGUCUAGCUUCAGCAUCCAGCCAUGGGAUCUUGUAAUGCCUUUGUUUGCUAGAACGAAAAGCCCUCUUCUAGCACUAUAACAAGUCAGUGCUAGUUGUCUAUCUCUCAAUGAUUUCCAUAUCAAAUAUAUUCAUUUUGCAAGUAAAAAAAAAAUGUGUUCUUCCUAACAACAAACCACAUAAACUCUACCUAGGAUUUGAAAGUACUGUUGUGUUCUCUCUCUUUCUUAUUCAUUCUCACCAAUAGUAAAGGGUUUGUAGAUCAAAUUCUGACUUUACUAACACUUAUACAGCCCAGUGAGUUUGCACAGGUAUAAAUGAUUAGAACUAAGUGAAGAAUUCAAUGGAUGUACAAGCGUUUCCAGCAUGCUGUCUCUUUGCUGAUUUGUCUCUGCAGGGCUAACAGAAGCAAAAAGCAGUAUAAAUGUAUUCCUUCAUCACUGGAGUACCUCCUAAUUUAAAGGAAAACACACAUUUUUUUUUUAAGACACUGCCCCUCCACUCUGAUGGCAAAUAUCUGAACUGCAGUCAGUAAUGUAAUGACAGCUAGCAGAUGGCUACUGACAAUGUUCAAAGUAAGGGGGUAAUUCAGCCCCAUGUUUUCUCUAAUGGUACCAUUUCAGAUAAAGAUGAAUAAAUAGAUCUGAAAACAGCACCGCAAAGGAACACAAUUAGCACUUCCACAGGGCUAGUAAAGGCCAGGUUGUGAGGAGCCCUUGCCUAAGCUCCCAGGGGCUAUGGGGUAGGCAAGCAGCCUUGCACCCCAUACUCCUAUUGAAAUCCCACCUGCAUCUGAAGGCCCCUCCCCCAGCCUAAAGGGAGAAGCCACUGAACUCAGGAUUCAAGUAGAGUUGGGGGGCAACAAAUGAUAAAGCAGUGAUGGGAUGCAGCUGCACAAUCACAGUGUUGCCAUCUCUCAUGCUUCUAUCAUAAGUCUUGUGAUUUUUGGCACAUUCCUUUCCAGCAGCUGGAAUCAUGAUCUUGCAUGAGGAUCUCAGCUUUCAUUUAAAAAAAUUAGCAUCUAGCCCUCAUGGUGGCAGAGAAUAGCUUGAAAACAUGAAUCACGUGCACAUUAAAGGCUCAAAAACCUAGAAGGCAAAUACAAUUAACCCCAUGUUUAUUUUUUUAUAAACCAUGAUUUUAAGCCAAUCUCAUGCUUUUGUGGGGCUUCAUUCAUGAUGAUUGAAUGUUUUGGGUUGACAAUACUGUACAAGGGCCUCCCACAGUAUCAGUCUCUGCCCUCCCUGAGCUCUGGGAAUUACAAGGACAACCCACACCUGGCUCCACUGGUGAGCAAGAUGCCAAAAAAAGUGGAAAUGGACAGGGAGUAGGUGAGGUCAUAGUCCAACUCCUUCCCCCUACUGCCCCAAUGGUUGGUGCAAAGUGCGAGUUGAGAAGCACUGGGAAAGAUGGGGCCUGUGAGAGCAACAAUCCUUUCAGUGCUCAUCCUGGGGUAGUACAGCCCCUCCACCCCAUCCCAUUUGCAAAAUAAGGAGGGUAAAUACCACAGUUCAGCGCUAUGUGGAGAUCCAACUGAAAUGUCUGAAUUAUUUAAGCAAACUAUACUUUAAGUGCACUGAACUCUGACAUGUACAUGGCUAGAUGUGCAAAGUGAGAAAUGCAAGCAGCUUUCCAUUGAACGCCGGCAUUUAGUAUGCUGUUCAACAUUUUGGUUUCUUGCAUGAUUAUUUUUAUCCUUCAGACAAAUGUAAUACAUAUGCAUUAAAGUACAGAUUUGUUUAAAAAAUGAAGCCUGUACCUCAGAGGCUGGACUGCAUACAUUU